Molecule: ribosomal RNA, 1337 nt
Filed under: uncultured bacterium
Lineage: Bacteria
Description: bacterial SSU rRNA
Rfam family: Bacterial small subunit ribosomal RNA
Source: RNAcentral
GACGAACGCUGGCGGCGUGCUUAACACAUGCAAGUCGAACGGAAAGGCCCUUCGGGGUACUCGAGUGGCGAACGGGUGAGUAACACGUGGGUGAUCUGCCCUGCACUUUGGGAUAAGCCUGGGAAACUGGGUCUAAUACCGAAUAGGACCACGCGCUUCAUGGUGUGUGGUGGAAAGCUUUUGCGGUGUGGGAUGGGCCCGCGGCCUAUCAGCUUGUUGGUGGGGUAAUGGCCUACCAAGGCGACGACGGGUAGCCGGCCUGAGAGGGUGACCGGCCACACUGGGACUGAGAUACGGCCCAGACUCCUACGGGAGGCAGCAGUGGGGAAUAUUGCACAAUGGGCGCAAGCCUGACGCAGCGACGCCGCGUGAGGGAUGACGGCCUUCGGGUUGCAAACCUCUUUCAAUAGGGACGAAGCGCAAGUGACGGUACCUAUAGAAGAAGCACCGGCCAACUACGUGCCAGCAGCCGCGGUAAUACGUAGGGUGCGAGCGUUGUCCGGAAUUACUGGGCGUAAAGAGCUCGUAGGUGGUUUGUCGCGUUGUUCGUGAAAACUCACAGCUUAACUGUGGGCGUGCGGGCGAUACGGGCAGACUAGAGUACUGCAGGGGAGACUGGAAUUCCUGGUGUAGCGGUGGAAUGCGCAGAUAUCAGGAGGAACACCGGUGGCGAAGGCGGGUCUCUGGGCGGUAACUGACGCUGAGGAGCGAAAGCGUGGGGAGCGAACAGGAUUAGAUACCCUGGUAGUCCACGCCGUAAACGGUGGGUACUAGGUGUGGGUUCCUUCCUUGGGAUCCGUGCCGUAGCUAACGCAUUAAGUACCCCGCCUGGGGAGUACGGCCGCAAGGCUAAAACUCAAAGGAAUUGACGGGGGCCCGCACAAGCGGCGGAGCAUGUGGAUUAAUUCGAUGCAACGCGAAGAACCUUACCUGGGUUUGACAUGCACAGGACGCCGGCAGAGAUGUCGGUUCCCUUGUGGCCUGUGUGCAGGUGGUGCAUGGCUGUCGUCAGCUCGUGUCGUGAGAUGUUGGGUUAAGUCCCGCAACGAGCGCAACCCUUGUCCUAUGUUGCCAGCGGGUUAUGCCGGGGACUCGUAGGAGACUGCCGGGGUCAACUCGGAGGAAGGUGGGGAUGACGUCAAGUCAUCAUGCCCCUUAUGUCCAGGGCUUCACACAUGCUACAAUGGCCGGUACAAAGGGCUGCGAUGCCGUGAGGUGGAGCGAAUCCUUUCAAAGCCGGUCUCAGUUCGGAUCGGGGUCUGCAACUCGACCCCGUGAAGUCGGAGUCGCUAGUAAUCGCAGAUCAGCAACGCUGCGGUGAAUACGUUCCCGGGCCU